UAACAAUGGAGUUCAUUAGAAGAUGAAAGCUUAUGAUGAAGAUGCCAAAUAUAUUUUAUUUAUUAACAAAUCAAUUACAAUACUUGGUUGCUCAACCAUCAACAGCUUGAUGAUUGGCUUUUUGAGAUACAUUUUUCAAUAAUAUAUUAAUUAGUGGUUAAUUUCUAAAUGCUCCCGAUCUAUAAAUCGUCAUGGAGGAUAGUGAUCAAUUCAUUUG
Molecule: long non-coding RNA, 217 nt
Filed under: Elaeis guineensis (African oil palm)
Lineage: Eukaryota; Viridiplantae; Streptophyta; Magnoliopsida; Arecales; Arecaceae
Description: long non-coding RNA (EGUI_LNC056172)
Source: RNAcentral